This 131-nucleotide non-coding RNA is filed under the name Brachyspira pilosicoli. Its description in RNAcentral is "FMN riboswitch (RFN element)". It matches the Rfam family "FMN riboswitch aptamer (RFN element)". Rfam says of the family: The RFN element is a highly conserved domain that is found frequently in the 5'-untranslated regions of prokaryotic mRNAs that encode for flavin mononucleotide (FMN) biosynthesis and transport proteins. This element is a metabolite-dependent riboswitch that directly binds FMN in the absence of proteins. The record is from RNAcentral. Lineage: Bacteria; Pseudomonadati; Spirochaetota; Spirochaetia; Brachyspirales; Brachyspiraceae.
AUCUUCGGGGCUAGGUGAAAUUCCAUACCGGCGGUAAAGUCCGCGAGCCUUUUUGAUGUUUCUUUUAUUCAAAAAUGGCAGAUUUGGUGCGAUUCCAAAACCGACAGUUAAAGUCUGGAUGGUAGAAGAUG